AUUGAACGCUGGCGGCAGGCCUAACACAUGCAAGUCGAACGGUAACAGGGAUCAGCUUGCUGAUUCGCUGACGAGUGGCGGACGGGUGAGUAAUGUCUGGGAAACUGCCUGAUGGAGGGGGAUAACUACUGGAAACGGUAGCUAAUACCGCAUAACGUCGCAAGACCAAAGAGGGGGACCUUCGGGCCUCUUGCCAUCGGAUGUGCCCAGAUGGGAUUAGCUAGUAGGUGGGGUAACGGCUCACCUAGGCGACGAUCCCUAGCUGGUCUGAGAGGAUGACCAGCCACACUGGAACUGAGACACGGUCCAGACUCCUACGGGAGGCAGCAGUGGGGAAUAUUGUACAAUGGGCGCAAGCCUGAUGCAGCCAUGCCGCGUGUAUGAAGAAGGCCUUCGGGUUGUAAAGUACUUUCAGCGGGGAGGAAGGGAGUAAAGUUAAUACCUUUGCUCAUUGACGUUACCCGCAGAAGAAGCACCGGCUAACUCCGUG
RNAcentral lists this ribosomal RNA (490 nucleotides) under uncultured bacterium. RNAcentral describes it as "partial 16S ribosomal RNA". It matches the Rfam family "Bacterial small subunit ribosomal RNA", at positions 30 to 507 of the family's 1533-position model. The record is from RNAcentral.